CUUGCUCUGUGCUGACGAGUGGCGGACGGGUGCGUAACGCGUGGAAAUCUACCUAUAAGCUGGGGAUAAGCUUUUGGAAACAGAGUCUAAUACCGAAUAAGUUCUACGGAAUAAAGAUUGCGCUUCUUAGGAAGCAGUCACUUAUAGAUGAGUCUGCGUUGGAUUAGCUAGUUGGUGGGGUAAAGGCCUACCAAGGCGACGAUCCAUAGCUGGUUUGAGAGGAUGAUCAGCCACACUGGGACUGAGACACGGCCCAGACUCC
Molecule: ribosomal RNA, 262 nt
Filed under: uncultured bacterium
Lineage: Bacteria
Description: partial 16S ribosomal RNA
Rfam family: Bacterial small subunit ribosomal RNA
Source: RNAcentral